ACCCUCCGGUUCCCUUUCCCAUCGGAUCUGAACGCUGGUCUUGGUGGUCGUAAAAGGAGGAAAAAGAACACUGAAGCUGGCCUUGUGGUGUUUAAUAGUCUGGUAUAGAGCCUGUGGGCUAGUUUCAAACAGGG
This is a small nucleolar RNA of Ailuropoda melanoleuca (giant panda), 134 nucleotides long. Ensembl annotates it as small nucleolar RNA, H/ACA box 61. The record is from Ensembl. Lineage: Eukaryota; Metazoa; Chordata; Mammalia; Carnivora; Ursidae.